Molecule: long non-coding RNA, 292 nt
Organism: Drosophila navojoa
Lineage: Eukaryota; Metazoa; Arthropoda; Insecta; Diptera; Drosophilidae
Gene: inaE
Source: RefSeq, a predicted model, not a curated record
AUAAAAUCAUGCAGAGCUUUAAGAGCGCACGGCUUUUGGCCAGCAGCAUGAACACCAACAACAGUAACAACAUCAUCAUUCGCCUAUAAACAAACGUGUGUGCAAAUCCAUAAAACGCAACAAGAACAAGAAGUACAAGAAUGAAAACAAGUGCAAAUUGGGCCGCUGCGGCAAUCGAAAGCAAAUAGAUAGAAAAGAGAACGAACGAAAGGAAAAUACAUGGAGUGCUACCAGAGUAGCUAAGCAAUUAGACAAAUAAAAUUAGUGAAGACACAAAAAAAGCAGCAAAGCA